RNAcentral lists this ribosomal RNA (510 nucleotides) under uncultured Diversisporaceae. RNAcentral's name for it is "SSU rRNA". It matches the Rfam family "Eukaryotic small subunit ribosomal RNA", at positions 569 to 1078 of the family's 1831-position model. The record is from RNAcentral. Lineage: Eukaryota; Fungi; Glomeromycota; Glomeromycetes; Diversisporales.
AGCAGCCGCGGUAAUUCCAGCUCCAAUAGCGUAUAUUAAAGUUGUUGCAGUUAAAAAGCUCGUAGUUGAAUUUCGGGAUUCGUCCAUUGGUCAGGCUUAACUGUCUGCACUGAUGUGUCGGAUUUCUACCUUCUGAAGAACCUUCAUGCCAUUAAUUUGGUGUGUUGGGGAAUCAGGACUGUUACUUUGAAAAAAUUAGAGUGUUUAAAGCAGGCUAACGUCUGAAUACAUUAGCAUGGAAUAAUGAAAUAGGACGGUACGGUUCUAUUUUGUUGGUUUCUAGGAUCGCCGUAAUGAUUAAUAGGGAUAGUUGGGGGCAUUAGUAUUCAAUUGUCAGAGGUGAAAUUCUUGGAUUUAUUGAAGACUAACUACUGCGAAAGCAUUUGCCAAGGAUGUUUUCAUUAAUCAAGAACGAAAGUUAGGGGAUCGAAGACGAUCAGAUACCGUCGUAGUCUUAACCAUAAACUAUGCCGACUAGGGAUUGGACGAUGUUAAUUUUUUAAUGACUCG